GUGGGUGUAGUUCAACGGCAGAACGGCAACUUCUUAUGGGAUACCCUUCCUUUAUUUCUUAUUGCCAUGCGGGUUCAACUCCUGCCACUCACA
The sequence is a transfer RNA, 93 nucleotides long. It matches the Rfam family "tRNA". From Rfam's summary of the family: Transfer RNA (tRNA) molecules are approximately 80 nucleotides in length. Their secondary structure includes four short double-helical elements and three loops (D, anti-codon, and T loops). Further hydrogen bonds mediate the characteristic L-shaped molecular structure. tRNAs have two regions of fundamental functional importance: the anti-codon, which is responsible for specific mRNA codon recognition, and the 3' end, to which the tRNAs corresponding amino acid is attached (by aminoacyl-tRNA synthetases). tRNAs cope with the degeneracy of the genetic code in two manners: having more than one tRNA (with a specific anti-codon) for a particular amino acid; and 'wobble' base-pairing, i.e. permitting non-standard base-pairing at the 3rd anti-codon position. The record is from Rfam.